Branchiostoma floridae (Florida lancelet) is the source of this 789-nucleotide long non-coding RNA. RefSeq lists it as uncharacterized. NCBI's taxonomy places the organism in Eukaryota, Metazoa, Chordata, Leptocardii, Amphioxiformes, Branchiostomatidae. The transcript has 3 exons. The record is from RefSeq and is a predicted model, not a curated record.
GGCGAGCGGCAUGGUGUACUGCAGCAAUGGCCGCCGAAACGGAUCAUCAAACGGAUCAUCAUUUUUUCCGGACUGCUCGUAACGAGUGGAGGCUAUAUUUAAGUGCUCUAGGAUGAGGAUACUGGAGAGAUGGUCGUAGAAGGGAUCAUACAUUUACAGUUGGGAAAGGUACAGCCUACCGAUACUGUCAGGACCUCCUUGGUAAGACUGUGAAGAUCCCCUUGCUCUCCUGUGGUGUCAAUCCAUUCCAACUCCAAGGACAUUUUGUUUGUUUGUUAUGGACUACACCAGGAUCAGGAAAAAACAAACACAACACUGUGUGUACAUUGUGUAUACAGAUGAGCUCCCAUGACAGACACAACAACCUUGUAUACUAUAAACAUGUGUACAUAAUGUAAACGUUAUGAAACCGAUACACUAACAUAUAUCAAUGAGGUUUUCUAACAUGCAAGAUGUAUUUUUUUUUCAUAUUUUAAAAUGCAUGCUAUUUUAUUGGGUGGUUGUGCUUGUCUAGUAAAAUGAACACCAAAAGAAGUUCUUAUAGAUGUAAAUAUUACAAGUAUAAUUACUAUAAAACAUAGAUUCAACCAUAGUUUCACUGACCUGGAAUCAUCCAUCAUAUUUCAAGAUAUUUACAUCUUUUAUGCAAAGAGUUUGAGUCUGAUUAUUUCUUCAAUUUCAUCUGCAUGACAGAAAUCGACAGAAAUGUAUACAAUUGUAUUGGCACUUGAUACUUGACUUUUAACAUUGUGUCAACUAUGUGGUGUUGACAAACAUGAACCCUUGAAA